AGCGAACGCUGGCGGCGUGCUUAACACAUGCAAGUCGAGCGAGAAAGUCCCGCAAGGGAUGAGUACAGCGGCGAACGGGUGCGUAACACGUGGGCAAUCUGUCCUUGAGACCGGAAUAACCCAGCGAAAGUUGGGCUAAUGCCGGAUAAGACCACGAGCAGACAUGUUUGCGGUCAAAGGGCGCUUCUUCUAGGAGCAUUCACUCACGGAGGAGCCCCGCGGCCAUCAGCUAGUUGGUAGGGUAACGGCCUACCAAGGCAAAGACGGGCAGCUGGUCUGAGAGGAUGACCAGCCACACGGGGACUGA
RNAcentral lists this ribosomal RNA (307 nucleotides) under uncultured bacterium. RNAcentral describes it as "bacterial SSU rRNA". It matches the Rfam family "Bacterial small subunit ribosomal RNA", at positions 29 to 322 of the family's 1533-position model. The record is from RNAcentral.